This 409-nucleotide ribosomal RNA is filed under the name uncultured bacterium. Its description in RNAcentral is "bacterial SSU rRNA". It matches the Rfam family "Bacterial small subunit ribosomal RNA", at positions 354 to 777 of the family's 1533-position model. The record is from RNAcentral.
GUGAGGAAUAUUGGGCAAUGGGCGAAAGCCUGACCCAGCGACGCCGCGUGAGGGAAGAAGGUCUUCGGAUUGUAAACCUCUUUCAGCAGGGAAGAAGAAAGUGACGGUACCUGCAGAAGAAGUCACGGCUAACUACGUGCCAGCAGCCGCGGUAAUACGUAGGUGGCGAGCGUUAUCCGGAAUUACUGGGUGUAAAGGGUGUGUAGGCGGGAAUGCAAGUCAGACGUGAAAUCUACGGGCUCAACCUGUAAAUUGCGUUUGAAACUGUAUUUCUUGAGUAUGGGAGAGGUAAACGGAAUUCCUGGUGUAGUAGUGAAAUGCGUAGAUAUCAGGAGGAACACCGGUGGCGAAGGCGGUUUACUGGACCAUAACUGACGCUGAGACACGAAAGCGUGGGGAGCAAACAGGA